UGCCUGUGUGUCCCCGUGUCCCCAUGUCCGUCUGUCCCCAUAUCUGUGUCCGUGUGUCCCCGUGUCCGUGCGCCUGUCCUCAUGUGUCCUUGUGUCCCCAUGUCCCUGUGUCUGUGUGUCCGUCUGUCCCCAUAUCUAUGUCCCUGUGUCCGUGUGUCCCCAUGUCCCCAUGUCCGUGUGUCCCCAUGUCCGUGUGUCCCCAUGUCCCCAUGUCUGUCUGUCCCCGUAUCUGUGUCCCCAUGUCCAUGUGUCGCUGUGUCUGUGUCUCCCCGUGUCCGUGUGUCCCCGUGCUCAUGUGUCCGCCUGUCCCCGUAUCUGUGUCCCCAUGUCCCCGUGUCUGUGUGUCCCUGUGUCUGUCUGUCCCCGUAUCUGUGUUCCCAUGUCUGUGUCUGUGUGUCCCCAUGUCCCCGUGUGUCCCCGUGUCUGUGUGUCUGUGUCUACAUGUGUCCGUGUGUCCCUGUGUCCAUCUGUCCCAGUAUCUGUGCAUCCAUGUGUCCCCCUGUCUGUGUGUCCCCAUGUCUGCCUAUCAGCCCCCAUGUGUCCGUGUGUCCCCGUGUCCGUGUGUCCGUGUGUCCCUAUGUCCGUGUGUCCGUGUGUCCCCGGGGGCACUACUGGGGCACCACUGUGGCACAAAUGACACUGCCGUGGCACUAUGGUGGCAGCACAGUGGCACAACUGAGCAUGUCAUGGCACAAUGGUGGCACUAUGGCAGCACUAUGGGGGUACUGUUGUGUCACAAAUGUCACUGUGGUGGCACACAUUGCACCAUGGUGGCACAAAUGACACCAUCGUGGCACUAUGGUGGCACAUGGAGCACUAUGGCGGCACUAUGGUGGCACCAUGAUGGCACCAAUGCUGUUGACGUGGCACGACGUGGCACUAGGUUGGCUCCGUGGUAGCAACGAUUUGCAGACAGUGCCGGGCGUCCCUCCUUCUCCCUCCCACACCUCUCCAUCCUUCUCCCCUCCCACCCUUUUUCCUCCCUCCUUCUCCCCUCCCACACUUCUCCCUCUCGCAUUCUCCCUCCAAUCCUUCCCUCGUCCCUCCUUCUCCUCCACCCUUCUCCCUCCCUCCCUUCUCCCUCCUGUCCUCCCCCCACCAUUCUCCCUCCAUCCCUCUCCAUCCUUUUCUCCUCCGUCCUCCUCCCUCCCACCCUUCUCUCCUCCAUCCUUCUCCCCAUC
This 1181-nucleotide long non-coding RNA is filed under the name Numida meleagris (helmeted guineafowl). RNAcentral's name for it is "lncRNA (ENSNMEG00000002190.1)". Lineage: Eukaryota; Metazoa; Chordata; Aves; Galliformes; Numididae. The record is from RNAcentral.